This 57-nucleotide transfer RNA is filed under the name Loxodonta africana (African savanna elephant). It matches the Rfam family "tRNA", at positions 8 to 63 of the family's 71-position model. Rfam says of the family: Transfer RNA (tRNA) molecules are approximately 80 nucleotides in length. Their secondary structure includes four short double-helical elements and three loops (D, anti-codon, and T loops). Lineage: Eukaryota; Metazoa; Chordata; Mammalia; Proboscidea; Elephantidae. The record is from Rfam by way of RNAcentral.
UGGCACAGUGGUUAAGCACUUGGUUGUUAACCAAAAGUUUAGUGGUUCAAACCCACU